Long non-coding RNA from Sardina pilchardus (European sardine), 192 nucleotides. RefSeq lists it as uncharacterized. The transcript is spliced from 3 exons. NCBI's taxonomy places the organism in Eukaryota, Metazoa, Chordata, Actinopteri, Clupeiformes, Clupeidae. The record is from RefSeq and is a predicted model, not a curated record.
CCGCGCUCUGCUGAUGGGAGUCUUCACUCAGGAGACUCUGCUGAGGAGCAACCUCAGAGGGGGCAAGUCUAAGAGGGCUGAGGGGGAGCAAAGGGAGUCCCUGGACCCUGAGAGGGUGAAGGCCAUAAUGGACACCACCCAGAGGAGAUUCACAGACACUCCUGCAGGAUUGCUGGGCCAGGCAAUCAAUGC